CCAUAUUUUCUUGGUAAAUUACGUCAUCCAAUUAUUAAUCUUAUUUAUUGUAAAAAGUUUUUAUUGUAGUAGUGGAUGAACAACUCUGAAGAGCCAUAGAAUUUUUUUUCUAAGGAUAAGCUUCGAUGACGGAUUGAACUGCACGUAUAGGUUUAACGUUGAAUCGUGUAAAACCAGAUUGUCGAAGAACAUAGCUCCAUUCCUUUAAGGUCCUCUCUUUCCCUUUAUUAGUAAUAGCCAUCAUCGUCAUGUCUAGCAUCAACCCUACGGCACCUAGCUCGUCGCCUUCUUUAUCUUCUUCAAGAACUGCUUCAACGAUUAUAACCUUCCCUUUAUCUUCUGGAAUGGCUUCUCGACAUUUUUUUAAGAUUUUAAUGCAUUCCUCGUCGUCCCAAUCAUGCAAUACCCACUGCAAUGUGACACGUAUGGAUUAAUCGUAUAAGACCAUAUAAUGAAGGGAAAGAAAGUACUAACCAUAAAAAACGCUGCGUCGGCGUUUGGGAUAGACAUGAACAUGUCUCCUCCUACGUUUUCAAUGCUAUCGGAUUUUGCUGAAACGGCGACGACAUGAGGGAGAUCAAAGUUGAUGCCUCGAAUCCAUGGGAAUGCCUUGACUAAAAGGCUCAAAGCAGUCCCGUUACCACCACCGACAUCGACCAGGCUUUCGACUCCGUCGAACACUUCGGGACAUCCUUCGAUUGUCGCCUGCACCGUCAGUCUAGCAUCGCAACCCAUGGCGUUGUUAAAGAGUUCUCUAAAGUCGGGGUUCGCCUCGGCGUAGCUCCAUAGAUCUUUCCCAUUUGCUACUUCAAAUGGUGAGAUAUUAUUGCCGGUUUCAAGGACUCGAGCACUAAGACUAUGCCAUGGUGCUAACCAAGUAGGGCUGGACACGAACAAUAUUAAAGCAGCCAUGGAUUUUUCUCCACGUUUUAUCAAAAGACGAGACAAUGGCGUCGAUGAGAAGCCUACAGUGUGGUGGUUGAUGUGCUCUUGUUUGAAUAUUCGGUCGUGGACCAUGAACCUCAUAAUGCGAUGAAGACGCGACGGUUCGCAUCGGAGGGCAGUGGCUAGCUCGGAUAGUGGCAUAGGGCUUCCAUAGUUUUCAAUAGUGUCGGCAAUCCCAAGCUCAAUGGCACAUUUAACGACAGCUAUUUUAGCAUAUCCUAACACAUAAUUCCAAAUCUUUAUUUCAGCUCUAGCUUCUUCCUUUACUGUCACUUCCAUAUCUCCCAUCUCAACUUUUUUUUUUAUUUUUUUUUAUUUUAGAACUUUUGGCAACUCUAUGCCCAAAUCUUGACCACGAAGCUACGAUUUAUAGAAGCAAAGGUAUUGGUUUGAACUAGGUCACAGUUCUUGAAUUUGAAAAUAUCUUGUCAAAUAUGCUCCUAACCACAAAACAAUUAUUAGAUUAAUUUGGUAAAAAAAUUACAGUCCAAUUAUUUGAGGUGUACCAAAUAGUAUAUGUAACUUAGAUUUUGGUUAACUUUUACCAUAGUACUUCAAUAGCAAUUUAUGAAUUUAAUCUUUAUAUUUUUUUAUUGAUUAAUUUCUAUCACAUUUCAAAAAUCGAGCUAAAAAAAAUUGGAUUAAUGGAUCAAGAAUUAACACGUCAUGACUUUUAAUUAAAACUUUGUAAAAUUAUGAUAAAAAUGAAUUAUCAACUAAGAAGAGAGUCUAAUUGACUUAGAGACUUGAGUUAUGUUUCGUGGGAUAUUCUCACAUUUUUCUGCCAUUCACUUCUACUUUAUUUAUGUGGUAAUGGGUGUAUGUGUGUGAUAGUGGGAUUGAUGGGUUUUUUUAACCAACUUUAUUCAGGAUCUUUCAUUUUCUGGACACUUUUACCCAAAAUCAGACACAGCUCAUCAUCUCAUAUUAUCUAAAAUUGUGUGGUAUAUAUGUUUAUAGGGUCAACUCAAAAAAAUAUUUUAAGAAAAUAAUAAUAAUUUUUGAAAAAUAAAAAUACAAUUUUAUAAAUUAUUGUUAUUUUAUCUUUUUUUUUCGUGUUUGUCUUCGUCCAUAAUGUUUAUCGAUGCUUAUCAGAUUAUUUACCCUAAAUAUUUAUUGUCACUCUUCCAGUAUAAGACUUAUUUCAUUCGAACUUUAAUUGGUUAAAACUUAAAAUGAAAUAUUAUUAUAUUAGAGAGAUUUAUUAUUGUUUAAAUUUGAAUAUAUUUUAAUUUUUAAUCUAUUAUAUUUUUGAAUUGAUUUAUUCUAAUUCUAAUUGAUCAAAUAUGUAUUAUUUGUAACUUUUACUAAAAUUUUUUUAAUACGAUACAUUAUGUUCGUACCCUUUAAAAUUUUUUUGAAAAAUUUUAAAAAUAGAAUAUAGUAUAAUCAAGUACGACCACGUAUGUAUGAUGAUAUAUAAGGAAUUAUAAAGUUGAAUUAAACUAAUAUAAACUGCAAAUAAAUUAAGAAUCGGAAUAAUUUGAACUAAAAACGACGUAGAACAAUUGUGCAGGAAGAGAUUCAGACUUUAGUACACAAAAUCUAAGACCUUGACCUUUAUCAACAACUUCGAAACUUACUUUAUCCGGAUCAAAAUAACAAUCAUAUUUUAAUUGUUUUUUGCAUUCAAUCAAAAAUUAUUCCAGAGAUAGAAUUGAAGAUUGAAAUAAUUAUUGAACAAAGGGAAUUACUAAACGAAGAGCAAGACUGAAACAUUUCUCAUGCAACAAAGUUUUAAUUGUUUUGUAGAAGUGGAUGAACGACUGUGAAGAGCCAUAGAUGUUGUUUUCUAAGGAUAACCCUCGAUGACGGAUUGAACUGCACGUAUGGGAUUAACAGUGAAUCAUUUAAAACCAGAUUGUCGAAGAACAUAGCUCCAUUCCUUUAAGGUCCUCUCUUUCCCUUUAUCAAUAUGAGCCAUCAUCGCCAUGUCUAGCAUCAACCCCACGAAACCUAGCUCGUCGUCUUCUUUAUCUUCUUCAAGAGCUGCUUCAACGAUUAUAACCUUCCCUUUAUCUUCUGGAAUGGCUUCUCGACAUUUUUUUAGGAUUUUAAUGCAUUCCUCGUCGUCCCAAUCAUGCAAUAUCCACUGCAAUUUGCAAUGUAUGGAUUAAUCGUAUAAGACCAUAUAAUGAAGGGAAAAAAAGUACUAACCAUUAAAAACGCUGCGUCGGCGUUUGGGAUAGACAUGAACAUGUCGCCUCCUACGUUUUCAAUGCUACCGGAUUUUGGUGCAACGGCAACGACAUGAGGGAGAUCAAAGUUGAUGCCUCGAAUCCAAGGGAAUGCCUUGACUAAAAGGCUCAAAGUAGUCACGUUACCACCACCGACAUCGACCAGGCUUUCGACUCCGUCGAACACUUCGGGACAUCCUUCGAUUGUCGCCUGCACCGCCAGUCUAGCAUCGCAACCCAUGGCAUCGUUGAAGAGUUAUCUAUGGCCGGGGUUUGUCUCGAACUAGCUCCAUGGAUCUUUCCCGUUCGCAGCUUCAAAUGGUGAGAUAUCAUUGCCGGUUUCAAGGACUCGAGCACUAAGACUAUGCCAUGGUGCUAACCAAGUCGGGCUGGACUCGAGCAAUAUAAAAGGGCCCAUGGAUUUUUCUCCAUCUUUUAUCAAACGACGAGACAAUGGCGUAGAUGAGAAGCCUACAGUGUGUUGGUUGAUGGGUUCCUGUUUGAAUAUUCGGUCGUGGACCAUGAACCUCAUAAUGCGAUAAAGACGCGACGGUUCGCAUCGGAGGGCAGUGGCUAGCUCGGAUAGUGGCAUAGGGCUUCCAUAGUUUUCAAUAACAUUGGCAAUCCCAAGCUCAAUGGCACAUUUAACGACAGCUAUUUUAGCAUACCCGAACACAUAAUUCCAAAUAUCUACUUCAGCUCUAGCUUCUUCUUCUUCGAUUCCACUCACUUCCAUUAUUAUUAUUUUUCUCUUGGAAAACUUUAUAAUUCUAUUCGCAACUCUUGAGGAUGAAAAGUUUUGUUGAAGACCCCGAUUUAUACGAGCAAAGGGUUAGAUUUUCUCUCUUCAAUUUCAGUUUUUUUCCUAAAAUAAAUUAAAUCUAAUUGAAAAUAUCAAAAUUUAGGAGAAAAACUGAUGUGACAUUAUGACAUUAAAUUAUUAAAAAAUGAUACAAAUGGCGUGUGAUUUCAAAUUCAUACAAUCAUGAUGAACAUCCUAAAAUAAUAUAAUUAUCAUGAUAUAACUUGGUGGAACAUUUUUUAAUAUAUAUAUUUAUGUGUUUUUUAAUGGAAUUUUUUUUAAUAUAGUUGUUUCCACCACUGAUUUCCUUUGGAAAAUUUUAGUUAUUAUCGUGAUUAAAAUUGCUUGAUUCUGCUCAACUAAUAAGGGAGAUUUUUUAUAAAUUGUAUUAUUGAACCUAAAAGUUUAACCAUGAAGGAGUGGUUGAAUGACAUUGAAUAAAAAUAAUAAAAGCUUAAUAUAUUAAUUGAUCCUUGAAUUUAACAGUUUUUCUCACAUUAGUUCUUAGAUAUUUCUUUGGAUUAUAUUAGUCUCUAAAUUUGGCAACCAUUACAGACACCAAUUUCUAAGGUUAAGGGUGGGUUUGGAUAGGCGGUACGUUUACUUACGAUUAGUGUAAAAACAGCAGUGGCAGUGAGAUUAGAUACUGUAGCGAUAUUGUAGUGUGAGACAAAAAGUAAGAUAAACGCACCGCACCCAGUCAUCCAUCCAAACUCACCCUAACACCAUUUAGUUUUUAGCAAUUUUGGUGACAUGGACUAAUAUCGUUGUGAUACAUGCUAUAUAUAUAUAUAUAUUCAACUUUCUUUAUAAUAACUACCCAUUAUAACACAACAUUUCGCUAUAACAAUAAAAUUUUUAUCAGAAUUGAUUUUUUAUGUUUUAUUUUAACCUUCUAUAAUAAUUUUUCACUUAUAACAAUAAUAGCUAUAAUUAUGAAGUACAUCCUUUGUUAAAUCAGUUCUUUAAAACAACACCUUGCUUAAAAUUUUAAGUAAAACUAUAACUAUUCAUAUAAGCAAACCUAUUACUUAGAAUUUGAUCUUCUUCUUUUGUUCUUUUCCUUUUUCUUUCUUUUAAUUUUACAUUUUUUUAUAACAUUGAGAGUUAAUCUUAAAAGAAAGAAUAACAAUAAAAGUUAUUAUUUAGAAUUUUUGGGUGUUUUCAUUUUUUUUUGUUUAUUUUCAAUCAAAUUUAGCUAAUAAAUUAGACUUUUAGCUUUUUAGGUGAAAAGAUCAGAAGAACAACAAAAUUACAAAAAAAAGACCAAAUUACACAAUGUGUAAACAUUGAGGGUUAGAUUGUUUAGAAUCAAGACUAAUUUGACCCAAUAUAUAAAUGUUAAAGAUUAAGGUUGCCAUUAUGCCAAUUUUAGAAGCUACCACCGCUAGCUUGUUGGUGACAAAAAAUGAUAAAAUUUAAUAAUUAAAUAACUAUUUUAUAACUUUUUAUAAUUGGGUGAUCAAAAUAAAAUUUACUAAUAUUUAAGUGAAUACUAAUUAAUUUAUUUAUUUUUCAUUUCGAUAAACAAACAAAUCGUGGACCAUAGAAUUUAAUCUCUCUUCACAAAAUCAGACAUGGGUUCUUUCUUUGGACAAUGGUUACCCAAAAUAGAGAAAAAUUUUCACAUAAAUGUUCGAUAUGAUUAGUGCCCCCACUAAACAGCUCAUCAUCUCAUAUUUAUCUAAAAUUGUGGUAUAAAUGUUUAUAGGGGUUAUGGGACAUCUCAAAUGGAUUAACGCUUCUUUUGGAGAGGAGUUAUGACUUUGUAAUAAUCCAAACAGACAGUAUAGAGGCCGUUCAAGUUAUUAAAGACUAGGCUUGUAAGGACUUGGACUCAACUUUAAUAAGAAGAAAUCAUCAAAUUUUGUCUAGUAUUAGACAUUGGGACAUUUGUCACAUUCCGAAGUCGAUGAAAUUGCUAAACUAGUUCAAGAAAUGAGGGAAUGUCUUUCAAGUGUUUGAAGUGUCCCCAUUGGGAAGUUUUAUUUUAUCGUAAUUUUUUAGGUUUUGUAUUUUCACCAAAUUUUUUUUAAGAAAAUAGAAAAUAAUAAUAAUUUUUGAAAACUCAAAGUACAAUUAUAUUAAAUUUGUGAUUUCAUCCAUAAUGUUAUUCAUAUCUAUCUAAUUAUUUGUCCUAAUCAUCCGAAAUUUAGGCCUAGUUUGGAUUGGUGGUACGUUUAACUGUAGUUAGUGUAAACAUAACGGUGGCGAUGAUAUUAGAUACUGUAGCGUGAGACAAAAAAUAAAUUAAAAGCACCGCACCCAAUCACCCAUCUAAAUCCACCUUAGUUAGUUACAAUCUAAAAUGAAAUAUAUAUUAAUAUAAUAAUAUAUUAUAUUGGUGUUUUGUUCAGUUUUAUUAUGGUUUAAAUUCAAAUAUAUUUCAAAUUUCAAUCUAUUAUAUUUUAUAUUGAGUUAUUCUAAUUUUAAUUGAUCAAAUAUGUAUUAUUUGUAACUUAUACUAAGCUUCUUCUUUUUUAAGUAACUCAUACUAUAUUUGUAGUUAUAAAUUCUUUCAAAAAAAUAAAUUAGGAUUCAUUAUAACAACACAAGCCAUGUUUUAAUAGAGCGUAUUACGAACUCAAAUCCUUUGAAUUUUUUUGAAAAAGUUUACAACUAGAAUAUAGUAAAUCAAGUACAACACAAUUAUAAAGUUGAAUUGAAUCAAUAUAAAUUACAAACAGAUUAAGAACGGGAAUAAAUUAAAUUAAAAUUCACACGUGACAAUUGCGUAUGAUGAGACUCAAGUUUUGGUAUACAAGACUCAAAAUCUCGACUUUUACCAACAAUGCCAAAACUUAUUCGACAGACAAUUCAAACCUCUUAUCCGAUAUCAAAAUACCAGUUGUAUUUUAAUUAUUUUUCACAAUCAAUCUAAAACUAUUCCAGAGGUAGAAUUAAAAUUGGUAUCAGUUUUAAAUAAAACCGGAUUAAUUGAUAUAUUGAUUCCAACAGAAUGAUUUUAAAGAAAACCACUCAAAACCAAGAUUUAUUGUAGUAGUGGAUGAACAACUGUGAAGAGCCAUAGAAUUUUUUUUUUCUAAGGAUAAGCUUCGAUGACGGAUUGAACUGCACGUAUAGGUUUAACGUUGAAUCGUGUAAAACCAGAUUGUCGAAGAACAUAGCUCCAUUCCUUUAAGGUCCUCUCUUUCCCUUUAUUAGUAACACCCAUCAUCGUCAUGUCUAGCAUCAACCCUACGCCACCUAGCUCGUCGCCUUCUUUAUCUUCUUCAAGAACUGCUUCAACGAUUAUAACCUUCCCUUUAUCUUCUGGAAUGGCUUCUCGACAUUUUUUUAGGAUUUUAAUGCAUUCCUCGUCGUCCCAAUCAUGCAAUACCCACUGCAAUGUGCCAUGUAUGGAUUAAUCGUAUAAGACCAUAUAAUGAAGGGAAAGAAAGUACUAACCAUGAAAAACGCUGCGUCGGCAUUUGGGAUAGACAUGAACAUGUCUCCUCCUACGUUUUCAAUGCUAUCGGAUUUUGCUGAAACGGCGACGACAUGAGGGAGAUCAAAGUUGAUGCCUCGAAUCCAUGGGAAUGCCUUGACUAAAAGGCUCAAAGCAGUCCCGUUACCACCACCGACAUCGACCAGGCUUUCGACUCCAUCAAACACUUCGGGACAUCCUUCGAUUGUCGCCUGCACCGUCAGUCUAGCAUCGCAACCCAUGGCGUUGUUAAAGAGUUCUCUAAAGUCGGGGUUCGCCUCGGCGUAGCUCCAUAGAUCUUUCCCAUUUGCUACUUCAAAUGGUGAGAUAUUAUUGCCGGUUUCAAGGACUCGAGCACUAAGACUAUGCCAGGGUGCUAAGCCAGUCGGGCUGGACAUGAGCAAUAUGAAAGCAGCCAUGGAUUUUUCUCCACCUUUUAUCAAAUGACGGGACAAUGGCGUCGAUGAGAAGCCUACGGUGUGUUGGUUGAUGGGUUCUUGUUUGAAUAUUCGGUCGUGGACCAUGAACCUCAUAAUGCGAUAAAGACGUGACGGUUCGCAUCGGAGGGCAGUGGCUAGCUCGGAGAGUGGCAUAGGGCUUCCAUAGUUUUCAAUAACGUCGGCAAUUCCAAGCUCAAUGGCACAUUUAACGACAGCUAUUUUAACAUAUCCUAACACAUAAUUCCAAAUCUUUAUUUCAGCUCUAGCUUCUUCCUCUAUUGUCACUUCCAUAUCUCCUAUCUCAACUUUUUCUUUUAAAAUUUUGUUAUUUUAGAACUUUUGGUAACUCUAUGCCCAAAUCUUGACUAUGAAGCUACGAUUUAUAGAAGCAAAGGUAUUGGUUUGAACUAGGUCACAGUUCUUGAAUUUGAAAAUAUCUUGUCAAAUAUGCUCCUAACCACAAAACAAUUAUUAGAUUAAUUUGGUAAAAAAAUUACAGUCCAAUUAUUUGAGGUGUACCAAAUAGUAUAUGUAACUUAGAUUUUGGUUAACUUUUACCAUAGUACUUCAAUAGCAAUUUAUAAAUUUAAUCUUUAUAUUUUUUUAUUGAUUAAUUUCUAUCACAUUUCAAAAAUCGAGCUAAAAAAAAUUGGAUUAAUGGAUCAAGAAUUAACACGUCAUGACUUUUAAUUAAAACUUUGUAAAAUUAUGAUAAAAAUGAAUUAUCAACUAAGAAGAGAGUCUAAUUGACUUAGAGACUUGAGUUAUGUUUCGUGGGAUAUUCUCACAUUUUUCUGCCAUUCACUUCUACUUUAUUUAUGUGGUAAUGGGUGUAUGUGUGUGAUAGUGGGAUUGAUGGGUUUUUUUAACCAACUUUAUUCAGGAUCUUUCAUUUUCUGGACACUUUUACCCAAAAUCAGACACAGCUCAUCAUCUCAUAUUAUCUAAAAUUGUGUGGUAUAUAUGUUUAUAGGGUCAACUCAAAAAAUAUUUUAAGAAAAUAAUAAUAAUUUUUGAAAAAUAAAAAUACAAUUUUAUAAAUUAUUGUUAUUUUAUCUUUUUUUUUCGUGUUUGUCUUCGUCCAUAAUGUUUGUUGACACCAUUUUUUUGGAUGAAAACGGGGUCGACUUGGAUUUUGAAAAAAGAAUGAAAACGGGAGUCGCUACCAAUCUUUUUUUGAUGAGGUGUGAUCGGGUCACCUCGAAAAGUGGUUGUUUUUAAUAAACAAUUUAAUUUUUAUUAAAACAACGAUUUUGGUCUGCGAAAUUCAGAAAAACGGGUUCGGGAGUCGGUUACGCACGAGGAAGGGUUAGCACCCUCGAUACGCCCAAAAUUGGUACCUAGUUGAUUACUUAAUGUCUUGGUGUCGAAAAUUAAAAACUCGAAAAGAAUUUAAAAAUACGAUCCUUAAAAGAAACUCUGAUAACGUGAAUUGAAAUAUAAGACUCUCUUGUUCCGAAUGAAUAUCACAUCCAGCACGUUAGGACACGAUACUCUAAACCAUCGAAACCAAGAUCACCUUAUAGUUUAAUGAAACCAUACUUUGAAGCUUUAAGAGGAUAUUUGGCUAUUUAGUCAAACGAGAAAUCGAAACCCAGCACGUUAGGGCACGUUUUCUCGAGUUUCCAAACGCGAAAUAUUGCCUUAUUUAGAAAAAUCUUAUCUCGAGGUAAUAAGAUGUCAUAUCCGGUGAGUUAGGACACAACACCUCAAAUCUCAGAGAGUAAGCAUUUUAUUUAACACUCGUAUUAUGAUUUUAAAGAAUAUGCCGUUAUUUAGGUUAAACGAGAAAAAUCGAAACCCAGUAAAUUAGGACACGAUUUUCUCGAAUUUCCAAGAACAGAAUAUUGCCUUAUUUUAUUUUUGUAUAUUCAAAUAAAUAUGUAUGCAAUGUUUAAAACCAUGCAUAUCAUUUGAGUUUCAGUGUAAAGAAUGAACCUUUAACAUGGCUCAUGAUGUGAUUGGAAUAAUAAUAGAAUGAUAACACGAAUAAACAACAUAACGACUUAUCUAUAAUAAUAAAACAACGAGUAUGCCGGGGCAAUUAGCAACUAAAUCUAAUAUUAAUUAAACCAUGAUAUACAUAAGAAUAAUAAUGAAAGAAAGUGGAAUAUGUAUAAAAAAUGAAUAUGCAAACAUCAAAAAGAAAUAAAUAAAUAACAAAGAAGGGUUAAAAUAAUAUAACAAUGACGAUAGUAAGAUUUGGUGAAAACAUGAGAUUAUAGACAAUCAUAUUUAAGAAAUAUAUGUAAUAAUGAACAAAAAAAAAUUGAAAUUAUAUAAAUAAAUAAAUCAAACAACUUGAAGUAAUACAAAAUUUAAGGAUAAAUAGGUGUACGUGUAAUAUUACAUUUAGAAAUAAAAAUAGCAAACAAAUAGUUAAAAGUAAUGUUGGAUAAUAAUCUAGGUAGAGUAUUAAAAAGGAAUAAUAAUAAAAAUACUAUGAUAGUAAUGAUGACAAUAUUAAUAAUCAAAUUGCAACAACAAAACGAACAAAGUGGCUCAAAAUAAAAUCAAAAUCAAAAUAGGAGGUGCAUAAUAAUAAAAGGUAAAAUAUAAGAAAUACAUAAUAAUAAUAAUAAUAAUAAUAAUAAUAAUAAUAAUCCGCGUAGUAGAAAACACAAAUAAUCUAAAUUUUAAAAUAUACGUGUAUAUAUAUAGAUAUAUAUAAAAGUACUUAAAUGGAAUAUUAUACAAAAUCUUAGGAUAAUAUAACAUGAAAAUUCUAAAAUAAUGAUUUUUCAACAAGGCAAAACCAAUAAAGCAAUUUUGGCAAAAAGAGAAAAAAAUAAUAAUAAAUAAAUAAAAAUAAUAAUAAUAAAUAAAAAAAUUGAAUGAAUCCUUUUGGAAAUAAGUAUUGAAUAGAUAAUAAGCCUAAUUAAAAUAAAUUUAAAAUAAAAGGGGUAAUCUGAAAAUAAAGAAACCAACAUGGGGGAUCACUGUGUAAUGUGCGCAAAUGCACAAGGACUAAAACUGGAAAUAAUCCAGGUCCCAUAAUGUAGUGCUUAGACGCGGACCGAAUUGCCAACAUGCGUAAAUUUUGAAGCCAAAUAAAAAAAGGAAGUGAAAUAAAUAAGGCAUGGUUGAGUGCUUGCACAAAGGGGGAGGACUCAAUGUGAAAUUCCCCUAUUUUCAACUUAAAAGGCGCAGAUCAGGCCUGUUAAACAAGUUGAAAUGCGGGCCUUCCUUUUCACAAAUAAUUUAAAACCCCUUUUUCAAAUGCAGCCACCUUUUAACUAAAAAAUCUAUAAUCCUAAAAUCAAUUAAACAUUGCAGCAAAAAAAAAGGAAAGAAAAAGGGGAAACCCAAAAUGUUUGCCCCCGUUUGGUCUGCCGUUCAACCACCAUCAGUCCACCAUGAACGAUGGAUGGUGGUCUACCAAAGCGUUCCCCUUAUGCCUUCAUUUAAAGCCCAGCCUCAAGACUCAUCAAUUUCGGCCUCAAAACCCCUCUCAACCUUCGACGCCGGCUAAGAAGACGAGGAUUUGGUGGCUCGUUCGCAAAGUAAGUCUUCUAUCUUCUCUUUAUUAUACUAAAACGCAUGCAGAGCAAAAAAGAAAACAAAAUAGACCUGAGAAAAAUAAUGUACAAGACUUUUGAAAUCUUUUUUUCUUUCUGAUUGCUCUUUUUUUUUUAUGCUUCAAUCUAUGUGUGUAUAAAAAUACAAUGUUUUUUUUUAUUCCCGAAAUUCCCCUAUUUUCAAUCAGUUCCCUCUCCCCAAAAUACCAUCGAUCCCCCUGUACAAUUUUUGAUUCGGGUUUUUAUAACCCAUUUUCAUCUAAUUUCCUAUUGUUUCUGUUUUGUCUCUUUGCAUGGGAUGGGCACGAUGGAGGUGACAGAGGCAUGGGGUGCAGACGGUGAUGGGCAUGCGUGGAGGCUGGCGCGGAGCAGAGGCGUGCGAGGUUGAGUGGUUGCGCACAUGGGGCAACGGCGCAAGUGGGCAAGUGGGGGGUUUGCUGGUAUGGGCCCGGGCAGAUUUUGGGCUUUACAGCUGCCCCUCUUUGCUCGUUGUCGUGUAACGAAAACAGAGCAAAGACCAAGGAAGACCAAAUUUGCCCGGGCUUACCGAGCCUUGGCUUCUUUUGGUACUUUUCUUCUUCAAGUAGCCUCGUUCUGUUCUGCUGUGUCUCGUUGCUUCAAUCCACUUCACUGCGCUCCAGAGAAACAUGACUUAAAUCUAUUUUGCUGCAACUCCAUGGGGAUGAGAUUUGUUGUUUUCUUCGUCUGCUCCACUACUGCUUAGGGAGAUAAGACUGAAUGCGAUCUGCUCCACUACUGCUUAGGGAGAUAAGAUCUGUAAUCUUCAAUCUACUUCAUGCCAAUACAUGAGACAAGAUCUACUUUCUUCGAUCUACUUUACCACCAGUAUGGGAAGACAAGAUCUGUAUCUUGGAUCCACUUCCUAUCAAUAUAGGAAGAUAGGACCUGCUAUCUUCGAUCUACUUCACGCCAAUACAUGAAGACAAGAUCUGCUUUCUGCGAUCUACUUCGCCACCAAUAUGAGAAGACAAGAUCUGCGUCGUCGAUCCACUUCCAAUCAUUAUGGGAAGAUAGGACCUGUUAUCUUUGAUCUACUUCACGCCAAUACAUGAAGACAAGAUCUGCUUUCUGCGAUCUACUUCGCCACCAAUAUGGGAAGACAAGAUCUGCGUCGUCGAUCCACUUCCAAUCAUUAUAGGAAGAUAGGACCUGUUAUCUUUGAUCUACUUCACGCCAAUACAUGAAGACAAGAUCUACUUUCUUCGAUCUACUUCGCCACCAAUAUGGGAAGACAAGAUCUGUAUCUUGGAUCCACUUCCUAUCAAUAUAGGAAGAUAGGACCUGCUAUCUUCGAUCUACCUCACGCCAAUACAUGAAGACAAGAUCUGCUUUCUGCGAUCUACUUCGCCACCAAUAUGGGAAGACAAGAUCUGCGUCGUCGAUCCACUUCCAAUCAUUAUAGGAAGAUAAGACCUGUUAUCUUUGAUCUACUUCACGCCAAUACAUGAAGACAAGAUCUGCUUUCUUUGAUCUACUUCGCCACCAAUAUGGGAAGACAAGAUCUGUAUCUUGGAUCCACUUCCUAUCAAUAUAGGAAGAUAGGACUUGCUAUCUUCGAUCUACUUCACGCCAAUACAUGAAGACAAGAUCUGCUUUCUGCGAUCUACUUCGCCACCAAUAUGGGAAGACAAGAUCUGCGUCGUCGAUCCACUUCCUACCAAUAUAGGAAGAUAGGAUCAGCUAUCUUCGAUCUAUUUCUUGCCCCGGGAGAUAGAACUAUCAGCUUCAAUGUACUCCAUUGUAAUCAGGGAGGUAAAAUCUGCCAUCUUCGAUCUGCUUUGCUGCCAAAUACAGGAAGGCAAGAUCUGCAAUCUUCAAUCUAUUCCACUGCCAAAUACAGGGAGAUAGAGUUAUCGGCUUCAAUGUACUCCCAUGUAGUCAGGGAGGUAAAAUCUGCCAUCUUUGAUCUUCAAUCUAUUCCACUGCCAAAUGCAGAGAGAUAGAGUUAUCGGCUUUAAUGUACUCCACUGUAGUCAGGGAGGUAAAAUCUGCCAUCUUUGAUCUUCAAUCUAUUCCACUGCCAAAUACAGGGAGAUAGAGUUAUCGGCUUCAAUGUACUCCACUGUGGUCAGGGAGGUAAAAUCUGCCAUCUUUGAUCUUCAAUCUAUUCCACUGCCAAAUACAGGGAGAUAGAGUUAUCGGCUUCAAUGUACUCCACUGUGGUCAGGGAGGUAAAAUCUGCCAUCUUUGAUCUUCAAUCUAUUCCACUGCCAAAUGCAGAGAGAUAGAGUUAUUGGCUUCAAUGUACUCCACUGUAGUCACAUGGAGGUAAAAUCUGCCAUCUUUGAUCUGCUUCGCUGCCAAAUACAGGAAGGCAAGAUCUGCAAUCUUCAAUCUAUUCCACUGCCAAAUACAGGGAGAUAGAGUUAUCGGCUUCACUGUACUCCUCUGUAGUCAGGGAGGUAAAAUCUGCCAUCUUCGAUCUGCUUUGCUGCCAAAUACAGAAAGACAAGAUCUGCAAUCUUCAAUCUAUUCCACUGCCAAAUACAGGGAGAUAGAGUUAUCGGCUUCAAUGUACUCCUCUGUAGUCAGGGAGGUAAAAUCUGCCAUCUUUGAUCUGCUUCGCUGCCAAAUACAGGAAAGAAAGAUCUGAUAUCUUCAACCAGCUCUGCUACAAACGAGAGAGGCAAGGUUUGUCUUCGAUCUGCUUCGCUGUCAGUGCAGGAAGGCAAGAUCUGCUAUCUUCAACCAGCUCUACUACAAACGAGAGUGGCAAGGUUUGUCUUUGAUCUGCUUCGCUGUCAAUGCAGGAAGGCAAGAUCUGAUAACUUCAACCAGCUCUGCUACGACCGAGAGAGGCAAGGUUUAUCUUCAAUUUUUACUGAUCUGUUCUCUAGGGAACAUGACAUGUAUAAUGAACCUAAUUAUGCCUAAUGAUUAGGAUGGCAUGAUCAAAAUGAAUCAAAUGCUCCUAACUAGACAUGCGUGAAUGGUAUUUGAAUGAAUGCAGAAUGUCAUGAAAAUAAUUCCUUAAUGCUUAGGUUAUCAUCGCUCAAAAGCUUAUUAAGGCUUUAUCACUAACGUGUCGCAACGCCUUCUUGACCAGCCGGCAUUUCUAAAGAAACACGUAAUCUGAUUGCCCCCACUGUGAACAUCGUAGUUCAAUCCAUUGUGACAUAAAAUUUGUACCAUCAAUCUCCUACUGUAACCCAAGGGUAGAAAGAUAUGGCUUUUUUCAAUCUUCUCCUAUCGUAAUUCAAGGGUAUAAGAUUUAAAUCCUUCUGGUCCCUUACAUCGUUCCCAAGGUGUCGUACCAAAGACUCAUGCGCAAACAAGGGCUCUCCUUCCCGAGGUAACCUCUUCCUAUUGCCUGAAGAUCAUCACUUUCUUGUUUAUUCAAGCUUUGUCACCAACAUGGCAUCUUGUCAAUCAACGCAUUUGACGACAAAAAUCCAAAGAGAAAGUCUAAAUUUAGACUAUUCCUUCCCAAAUUUCCAACCUUUAAAUUUGGAGUGUUCUAAACAAUUAUCCUGCUUCAGGCUCCUAUAUUAUUUAGAAACUUUUCAGAGUAAUAUGCAAAACUUCCUUCGUGAAAAUUUUAUUAGUCCAUUAAUCAUUAUUCCAAUGCAACAUGCUUGCAAAAGAUCAUAACGAUAGAUAAAAUAGAAUUGAUUUGAGAGCAUAGCUCAAAAUGGAUAAACUAUCAAGGAUAGCAAGAAUAAAAGGGGAAUUAAUUGGAAACACGUAUCUUGAAAAAGAAUGAAGUAUUCCAAGAAGAAAAAAAAGAAAAAAAAAGUAUGAGGACAAGAUGCCCCAGAUAUCGUAGCUUGAACUUCUCUGUACCAACUCUUUGAAAGACCAUUCUGUGUUUGACAUGUGUUUAGGAGAUCUACAAGACUUUGUCGAUGCCCCAAGAUGCUACCUACCCUUUCCUGUUGAAUCAGGUAUAGCAAGAUCAUUACAUGCCCCGAUUUGAUCAAAAUUUGAGCUGCUCUGAUCGCCUCAUGCCCCAAUUUGAUCCAAAAUUUGAGUCGCCCUUUUUUUGGGUUUUCAACUCAAGCCCCUUUGGUCUCAAGGCGCCCUUUGCGGGUUUUCACCUUGGCCUCUCCUUUUUUCACUCAUUUUACUUUUCUUCUUUUUCAUUAAUUUUCUCUUUUUUAAGUGAAGUAUUUGUUCCUUGAAUCAAAAUUCUCAAGAUUAGGCAAGUUCUUGCCAUCUAUCUUGGUUAAUACCUACACUCUCCCAGAUAAAGCCUUCCACAUAAGGUCCUUCUGGCUUGGCAUCCACUUUCUUCUGAAGUCUCCUUUGUAUGGGAAGGAUCUUCUUUGAUAUCGGGUCCCCUUUGUGGAAUUCUCUGGAGCAAACCUUGUUUUGGUGAACUCAUACCAUUUGCUUUUGGUACAUUUGACCAUGAUAGAUAUUUUGAACAUUCCUCUUCAACCAGGAUUGGAUCCAAAAACUCAAAGAGAAGGAAAUCUUGACCUCAAUAGGUAAAACCGCGAUAAGCCCAAAAAGAGGGCGUUGCCCUGAGAGAGUUUUUUUUGGCGAUAUGGUGUUAAUCUUGAACAGACUGCAAACUUCUGAUAUUGUGCUCUUGUUCAAAUUUAGUGCAUUGUCAAAUAUGAUCCUUUUCGACUCUUCAAGCUGACGUGAUCUUUUGCUGUCGACUUUGUGACAUUGGCAUAUGAAGCAGCUUCUUCCUGUGAAGAUAAACUGAUGACCGCUAGACUCUUUUGACGAGAUUGACCUAACAACCUUCAUGCCCCACAUAGGGGAAGUCAUGGACUCCAUUGAUUUUUCGUAAGGUGGAAUCUGUUUUUCACCUUGUUCUACCCUCCUCAAUAAGUACGGAGAUAGGCCACAAUCUAUGUCCUCUUCGAAGUCAUGAGAUUCCUCUAAACACAUGUCUCACUCAAAAGGAAGUUCUGAGUCUGUAGCAGUGUCAUUCAUGUCGUUGAUAUUCAGGGACCCGUUGUAGGUGCAAAAGAAUAUACAAAGAAUGUACGAAUUCAAGAAUAAUUAUCUGUACAGCAUGAUUAUGAAUGAAUGAAUGAUUUGGAAGAAAGAAUGAAAGAUUAAAAAUAAUUAUUCAUAAAGAAUGAAAGAAUAUUAGCUCAAAAAUGAUCGCAAAGAUGUAUUAAAAUAACGACGUUCAGACAUGAGCCUAUUUCACAAAAAGAGUUCAUAUUGCUUCAGGCUAAAAGCAACAAGUUUAUUCUGAAUAUUACUCUAAGUAGGUUCUAAAUACUACAGAGACUUCUUUUACAGUCUGAUUUAUUUAGAACACUUCCAAGUUUAUAAGGGUCGACAUCUAACAAAGUCCCUUCUUCAAUUGUGUCUUCAUGCAUGUCAUUGAUGUGAACACUUCCCAACAUCUCUUCAUACGUCGCAUUCACCUUAUUGUCAAUCAUGAUUGGGUAGCAGAUUUUCUGCCGUAGAUGAGUCACCCAACUUGACAAUACCCAUGUUGAUGAGUUUUUCAACUAGUUUCUUGAAGGUGAUGCAAUUCUCUAUUGAGUGCCCCGUAAUUCCUGCGUGGUAGUCACAGUGUGUGUUCGCAUUAUACCACUUUGUAUAUGGAGGUUGUGGGGGUUUUGAGUAGGAAGGGGAAACAACAUGUGCAUCGAAUAAAUUUUGAUACAACUCUUCAUAUGACAUUGGAAUUGGUGUGAACUGGAGGUUCUCAGUACCUGGUUUCACUCCAGGUUCUUGUCUCAAUGAGCCUUGUUGGUUAGCGACCAUUUUUCUUGGCUGAUUCACCGUAAUUGGUUUUGAAUAACCCUUGCUAUAUGUACUCGUGUUGUUCACCUCAUUGUCUUUGUGCUUUGGGGUUGAUCUCUUGAUGCCUUCUUCCGCAUCUAUCUUCCCACUUCUUACUGCAUUUUCAAUCAUUUCACCAGACAUCACUACAUCUGAGAAGCUCAUGGUAGCACUUCCUAACAUGUGGUUAAUGAACGGUGCUUUCAGAGUGUUGAUGAAAAGCAUCGUGGUUUCUUUCUCUAAAAGAGGUGGCUGGACCUGUGUCGCGACCUCUCUCCAUCUUUGGGCAUAUUGCCUAAAGCUCUCACUUUGCUUCUUUUCCAUGUUCUGCAAUGUGAUUCUAUCGGGUGUCAUAUCUGUCACAUGGUUGUACUGCUUUAUGAAAGCCUGUGCUAAGUCCUCCCAUGAAUGGAUGUUGACGCGACUUAACUGGUUGUACCACUUAGCUGCAGACCCGAUCAGACUGUCCUGGAAGCAGUGGAUCAACAGUUGAUCAUUGUUGAUGUAUCCUAUCAUUCUUCGACAGAACAUAGUUAUAUGAGCUUUAGGACAACUAGUCCCGUUGUACUUUUCAAACUCCGGCAUUUUGAAUUUGGGAGGGAGUACUAGAUCAGGUACCAAACUCAAGUCCUUGGCGUCGACUCCACAAUGGUAGUCGGUGUUCUCCAUGGCUCUAAAUUUCUCCUCUAGCCAUCUACAUCGGUCCUCAAGUUGUUUUGACAAGUCUGUUUUUACUUUCUCCAUCUCUGCCAUGUUAUCGAGAUCAGGAAAUACGGGGUUGGUAGGAUUAUCACCGGGAUUAGAACCCGAGCCUAUUGGAAAGUUUAUCGAUGCCGGGGCACCGACCUGGUAUUGGGAUCUAAUGGUAACAGGUGCCCUCUGCGGGUACACCUCUGGUUGCACUUGGAUGUUAGUUGGGGUGAAACCUGGAGGAUAGGCAGGGUCAUCGUGAUCAUCCCCAGCAUCAACUAAAGGGCCUUUUCCUUUUUCAUUCCUUCCAGUCAAUAACUGCUUUAAUUGGUUCAUCACAGUGUUCUGGGAUUCUAACAUGUCUUGCUGAAUUUUUUCCAGUCGUUCGUGCAUCUGAUCUUGCAUCUCUCGUUGCAACUGUUCCAAUCUUUCCAACCUUUGAUCCAUUGUUUUCGUUUGGCGACGAGUACCGUAGUGAUAUUUGAUUAGAUUUUUGUUGGUUUCCAGGGUAACUGAAAUAAUUUUACCUAGUUAGGGUCACUUCGUGAAAGUCUAAUGCAUAUGAUGUAAUGCAAAUGCAUGAAAUGAAUGCCAAAAGAAACGUUAAUUCUUGGUUCAAUUCUAUUAGAACAACUGGAAUAGAAAACAAAUCUAUUUACAUAAAGCAGAUAUAUAUACGGCUUUGCCGUCAUAGGCGGGAACAUUCGAUCCUCUUCUUCAUUCGAGCGUUAAGAUAAAUCUCCCGAACUCUUCAAAAGGGACAUCCCUUCUAUCUCUUUUUUCUUCAUCUGGGCCGCGACUCGUUACUCAUUCAUCCUUGUGAUGCUCGUUGGCUUCUCUUUAAAAAGUUUAGCGGUUCUCGAAUAAUCUUUAUCAUCUUGAGUCUUCAGCCAACGAGGCAAAGUCAUAUAGUCCUCUACUGAACUAUCAUCCUUCUUUUGUUAUAUCUUCUCGGACCGUAUUAGGACAACCGUAUCGUCAUCCACUUUAUCAAGAAACCCAUUUUCUUAUGACAAGCUCUCUAUUUAGCAAUUGAACGUGAAUCAACACCUCUUUUUAUGAUGAAAAUGCAAUGCAAUCAUAGCAAAAAGAAAACAUGUUAGUACAAAGCAAAAGCAAGCAAGAAUAAAUAGAACACCUAUUUGGGUGAAUACUAGGGGUUCGAAGUGGUUCUACCUAGGGUGGGCUCCUAAGGUUCACUACAUGGGGUUUGGUUCUAAAGUAAGGGUACCUGAACCAGCAGAUUCCUCGAUCCUCACCCAUUAUAGGCUCAUAUGGACCGAGUUCAGUUCAGGGGAAUACAUUUCCCUAUGGCCAUGCGGAGAUGAAAAUCUCACGAAGACAUAGGUACGGAUGUAUCCCGGAAGCGAUUCACUAUCCCAUGCGGAGGUGAAAACCUCACGAAGGCGUAGUUUCUCACUCCCACUUAAAAGGGUAUGACCAGCGGUCAUGCAAUGCAAUGUGCAGAGGUAUAAAACAAAAUACAGAACAUGAUAAAAAAAAUAUAACUCAAAAUAAAAGAGAUGCAAUGAGAGGAUCGUAAAUUUAAAUCGAAUUUUCCACUUUCAACCAAAAGACAAGAAAUAAUCAACACGUGGCUUGACUCUCUUACUAUCCCCAGUGGAGUCGCCAAGCUGUUGACACCAUUUUUUUGGAUGAAAACGGGGUCGACUUGGAUUUUGAAAAAAGAAUGAAAACGGGAGUCGCCACCAAUCUUUUUUUGAUGAGGUGUGAUCAGGUCACCUCGAAAAGUGGUUAUUUUUAAUAAACAAUUUAAUUUUUAUUAAAACAACGAUUUUGGUCUGCGAAAUUCAGAAAAACGGGUUCGGGAGUCGGUUACGCACGAGGAAGGGUUAGCACCCUCGAUACGCCCAAAAUUGGUACCUAGUUGAUUACUUAAUGUCUUGGUGUCAAAAAUUAAAAACUCGAAAAGAAUUUAAAAAUACGAUCCUUAAAAGAAACUCUGAUAACGUGAAUUGAAAUAUAAGACUCUCUUGUUCCGAAUGAAUAUCACAUCCAGCACGUUAGGACACGAUACUCUAAACCAUCGAAACCAAGAUCACCUUAUAGUUUAAUGAAACCAUACUUUGAAGCUUUAAGAGGAUAUUUGGCUAUUUAGUCAAACGAGAAAUCAAAAUCCAGCACGUUAGGGCACGUUUUCUCGAGUUUCCAAACGCGAAAUAUUGCCUUAUUUAGAAAAAUCUUAUCUCGAGGUAAUAAGAUGUCAUAUCCGGUGAGUUAGGACACAACACCUCAAAUCUCAGAGAGUAAGCAUUUUAUUUAACACUCGUAUUAUGAUUUUAAAGAAUAUGCCGUUAUUUAGGUUAAACGAGAAAAAUCGAAACCCAGUAAAUUAGGACACGAUUUUCUCGAAUUUCCAAGAACAGAAUAUUGCCUUAUUUUAUUUUUGUAUAUUCAAAUAAAUAUGUAUGCAAUGUUUAAAACCAUGCAUAUCAUUUGAGUUUCAGUGUAAAGAAUGAACCUUUAACAUGGCUCAUGAUGUGAUUGGAAUAAUAAUAGAAUGAUAACACGAAUAAACAACAUAACGACUUAUCUAUAAUAAUAAAACAACGAGUAUGCCGGGGCAAUUAGCAACUAAAUCUAAUAUUAAUUAAACCAUGAUAUACAUAAGAAUAAUAAUGAAAGAAAGUGGAAUAUGUAUAAAAAAUGAAUAUGCAAACAUCAAAAAGAAAUAAAUAAAUAACAAAGAAGGGUUAAAAUAAUAUAACAAUGACGAUAGUAAGAUUUGGUGAAAACAUGAGAUUAUAGACAAUCAUAUUUAAGAAAUAUAUGUAAUAAUGAACAAAAAAAAUUGAAAUUAUAUAAAUAAAUAAAUCAAACAACUUGAAGUAAUACAAAAUUUAAGGAUAAAUAGGUGUACGUGUAAUAUUACAUUUAGAAAUAAAAAUAGCAAACAAAUAGUUAAAAGUAAUGUUGGAUAAUAAUCUAGGUAGAGUAUUAAAAAGGAAUAAUAAUAAAAAUACUAUGAUAGUAAUGAUGACAAUAUUAAUAAUCAAAUUGCAACAACAAAACGAACAAAGUGGCUCAAAAUAAAAUCAAAAUCAAAAUAGGAGGUGCAUAAUAAUAAAAGGUAAAAUAUAAGAAAUACAUAAUAAUAAUAAUAAUAAUAAUAAUAAUAAUAAUAAUCCGCGUAGUAGAAAACACAAAUAAUCUAGAUUUUAAAAUAUACGUGUAUAUAUAUAGAUAUAUAUAAAAGUACUUAAAUGGAAUAUUAUACAAAAUGUUAGGAUAAUAUAACAUGAAAAUUCUAAAAUAAUGAUUUUUCAACAAGGCAAAACCAAUAAAGCAAUUUUGGCAAAAAGAGAAAAAAAUAAUAAUAAAUAAAUAAAAAUAAUAAUAAUAAAUAAAAAAAUUGAAUGAAUCCUUUUGGAAAUAAGUAUUGAAUAGAUAAUAAGCCUAAUUAAAAUAAAUUUAAAAUAAAAGGGGUAAUCUGAAAAUAAAGAAACCAACAUGGGGGAUCACUGUGUAAUGUGCGCAAAUGCACAAGGACUAAAACUGGAAAUAAUCCAGGUCCCAUAAUGUAGUGCUUAGACGCGGACCGAAUUGCCAACAUGCGUAAAUUUUGAAGCCAAAUAAAAAAAGGAAGUGAAAUAAAUAAGGCAUGGUUGAGUGCUUGCACAAAGGGGGAGGACUCAACGUGAAAUUCCCCUAUUUUCAACUUAAAAGGCGCAGAUCAGGCCUGUUAAACAAGUUGAAAUGCGGGCCUUCCUUUUCACAAAUAAUUUAAAACCCCUUUUUCAAAUGCAGCCACCUUUUAACUAAAAAAUCUAUAAUCCUAAAAUCAAUUAAACAUUGCAGCAAAAAAAAAGGAAAGAAAAAGGGGAAACCCAAAAUGUUUGCCCCCGUUUGGUCUGCCGUUCAACCACCAUCAGUCCACCAUGAACGAUGGAUGGUGGUCUACCAAAGCGUUCCCCUUAUGCCUUCAUUUAAAGCCCAGCCUCAAGACUCAUCAAUUUCGGCCUCAAAACCCCUCUCAACCUUCGACGCCGGCUAAGAAGACGAGGAUUUGGUGGCUCGUUCGCAAAGUAAGUCUUCUAUCUUCUCUUUAUUAUACUAAAACGCAUGCAGAGCAAAAAAGAAAACAAAAUAGACCUGAGAAAAAUAAUGUACAAGACUUUUGAAAUCUUUUUUUCUUUCUGAUUGCUCUUUUUUUUUUAUGCUUCAAUCUAUGUGUGUAUAAAAAUACAAUGUUUUUUUUAUUCCCGAAAUUCCCCUAUUUUCAAUCAGUUCCCUCUCCCCAAAAUACCAUCGAUCCCCCUGUACAAUUUUUGAUUCGGGUUUUUAUAACCCAUUUUCAUCUAAUUUCCUAUUGUUUCUGUUUUGUCUCUUUGCAUGGGAUGGGCACGAUGGAGGUGACAGAGGCAUGGGGUGCAGACGGUGAUGGGCAUGCGUGGAGGCUGGCGCGGAGCAGAGGCGUGCGAGGUUGAGUGGUUGCGCACAUGGGGCAACGACGCAAGUGGGCAAGUGGGGGGUUUGCUGGUAUGGGCCCGGGCAGAUUUUGGGCUUUACAAUGUUUAUCGAUGCUUAUCAGAUUAUUUACCCUAAAUAUUUAUUGUCACUCUUCCAGUAUAAGACUUAUUUCAUUCGAACUUUAAUUGGUUAAAACUUAAAAUGAAAUAUUAUUAUAUUAGAGAGAUUUAUUAUUGUUUAAAUUUGAAUAUAUUUUAAUUUUUAAUCUAUUAUAUUUUUGAAUUGAUUUAUUCUAAUUCUAAUUGAUCAAAUAUGUAUUAUUUGUAACUUUUACUAAAAUUUUUUUAAUACGAUACAUUAUGUUCGUACCCUUUAAAAUUUUUUUGAAAAAUUUUAAAAAUAGAAUAUAGUAUAAUCAAGUACGACCACGUAUGUAUGAUGAUAUAUAAGGAAUUAUAAAGUUGAAUUAAACUAAUAUAAACUGCAAAUAAAUUAAGAAUCGGAAUAAUUUGAACUAAAAACGACGUAGAACAAUUGUGCAGGAAGAGAUUCAGACUUUAGUACACAAAAUCUAAGACCUUGACCUUUAUCAACAACUUCGAAACUUACUUUAUCCGGAUCAAAAUAACAAUCAUAUUUUAAUUGUUUUUUGCAUUCAAUCAAAAAUUAUUCCAGAGAUAGAAUUGAAGAUUGAAAUAAUUAUUGAACAAAGGGAAUUACUAAACGAAGAGCAAGACUGAAACAUUUCUCAUGCAACAAAGUUUUAAUUGUUUUGUAGAAGUGGAUGAACGACUGUGAAGAGCCAUAGAUGUUGUUUUCUAAGGAUAACCCUCGAUGACGGAUUGAACUGCACGUAUGGGAUUAACAGUGAAUCAUUUAAAACCAGAUUGUCGAAGAACAUAGCUCCAUUCCUUUAAGGUCCUCUCUUUCCCUUUAUCAAUAUGAGCCAUCAUCGCCAUGUCUAGCAUCAACCCCACGAAACCUAGCUCGUCGUCUUCUUUAUCUUCUUCAAGAGCUGCUUCAACGAUUAUAACCUUCCCUUUAUCUUCUGGAAUGGCUUCUCGACAUUUUUUUAGGAUUUUAAUGCAUUCCUCGUCGUCCCAAUCAUGCAAUAUCCACUGCAAUUUGCAAUGUAUGGAUUAAUCGUAUAAGACCAUAUAAUGAAGGGAAAAAAAGUACUAACCAUUAAAAACGCUGCGUCGGCGUUUGGGAUAGACAUGAACAUGUCGCCUCCUACGUUUUCAAUGCUACCGGAUUUUGGUGCAACGGCAACGACAUGAGGGAGAUCAAAGUUGAUGCCUCGAAUCCAAGGGAAUGCCUUGACUAAAAGGCUCAAAGUAGUCACGUUACCACCACCGACAUCGACCAGGCUUUCGACUCCGUCGAACACUUCGGGACAUCCUUCGAUUGUCGCCUGCACCGCCAGUCUAGCAUCGCAACCCAUGGCAUCGUUGAAGAGUUAUCUAUGGCCGGGGUUUGUCUCGAACUAGCUCCAUGGAUCUUUCCCGUUCGCAGCUUCAAAUGGUGAGAUAUCAUUGCCGGUUUCAAGGACUCGAGCACUAAGACUAUGCCAUGGUGCUAACCAAGUCGGGCUGGACUCGAGCAAUAUAAAAGGGCCCAUGGAUUUUUCUCCAUCUUUUAUCAAACGACGAGACAAUGGCGUAGAUGAGAAGCCUACAGUGUGUUGGUUGAUGGGUUCCUGUUUGAAUAUUCGGUCGUGGACCAUGAACCUCAUAAUGCGAUAAAGACGCGACGGUUCGCAUCGGAGGGCAGUGGCUAGCUCGGAUAGUGGCAUAGGGCUUCCAUAGUUUUCAAUAACAUUGGCAAUCCCAAGCUCAAUGGCACAUUUAACGACAGCUAUUUUAGCAUACCCGAACACAUAAUUCCAAAUAUCUACUUCAGCUCUAGCUUCUUCUUCUUCGAUUCCACUCACUUCCAUUAUUAUUAUUUUUCUCUUGGAAAACUUUAUAAUUCUAUUCGCAACUCUUGAGGAUGAAAAGUUUUGUUGAAGACCCCGAUUUAUACGAGCAAAGGGUUAGAUUUUCUCUCUUCAAUUUCAGUUUUUUUCCUAAAAUAAAUUAAAUCUAAUUGAAAAUAUCAAAAUUUAGGAGAAAAACUGAUGUGACAUUAUGACAUUAAAUUAUUAAAAAAUGAUACAAAUGGCGUGUGAUUUCAAAUUCAUACAAUCAUGAUGAACAUCCUAAAAUAAUAUAAUUAUCAUGAUAUAACUUGGUGGAACAUUUUUUAAUAUAUAUAUUUAUGUGUUUUUUAAUGGAAUUUUUUUUAAUAUAGUUGUUUCCACCACUGAUUUCCUUUGGAAAAUUUUAGUUAUUAUCGUGAUUAAAAUUGCUUGAUUCUGCUCAACUAAUAAGGGAGAUUUUUUAUAAAUUGUAUUAUUGAACCUAAAAGUUUAACCAUGAAGGAGUGGUUGAAUGACAUUGAAUAAAAAUAAUAAAAGCUUAAUAUAUUAAUUGAUCCUUGAAUUUAACAGUUUUUCUCACAUUAGUUCUUAGAUAUUUCUUUGGAUUAUAUUAGUCUCUAAAUUUGGCAACCAUUACAGACACCAAUUUCUAAGGUUAAGGGUGGGUUUGGAUAGGCGGUACGUUUACUUACGAUUAGUGUAAAAACAGCAGUGGCAGUGAGAUUAGAUACUGUAGCGAUAUUGUAGUGUGAGACAAAAAGUAAGAUAAACGCACCGCACCCAGUCAUCCAUCCAAACUCACCCUAACACCAUUUAGUUUUUAGCAAUUUUGGUGACAUGGACUAAUAUCGUUGUGAUACAUGCUAUAUAUAUAUAUAUAUUCAACUUUCUUUAUAAUAACUACCCAUUAUAACACAACAUUUCGCUAUAACAAUAAAAUUUUUAUCAGAAUUGAUUUUUUAUGUUUUAUUUUAACCUUCUAUAAUAAUUUUUCACUUAUAACAAUAAUAGCUAUAAUUAUGAAGUACAUCCUUUGUUAAAUCAGUUCUUUAAAACAACACCUUGCUUAAAAUUUUAAGUAAAACUAUAACUAUUCAUAUAAGCAAACCUAUUACUUAGAAUUUGAUCUUCUUCUUUUGUUCUUUUCCUUUUUCUUUCUUUUAAUUUUACAUUUUUUUAUAACAUUGAGAGUUAAUCUUAAAAGAAAGAAUAACAAUAAAAGUUAUUAUUUAGAAUUUUUGGGUGUUUUCAUUUUUUUUUGUUUAUUUUCAAUCAAAUUUAGCUAAUAAAUUAGACUUUUAGCUUUUUAGGUGAAAAGAUCAGAAGAACAACAAAAUUACAAAAAAAAGACCAAAUUACACAAUGUGUAAACAUUGAGGGUUAGAUUGUUUAGAAUCAAGACUAAUUUGACCCAAUAUAUAAAUGUUAAAGAUUAAGGUUGCCAUUAUGCCAAUUUUAGAAGCUACCACCGCUAGCUUGUUGGUGACAAAAAAUGAUAAAAUUUAAUAAUUAAAUAACUAUUUUAUAACUUUUUAUAAUUGGGUGAUCAAAAUAAAAUUUACUAAUAUUUAAGUGAAUACUAAUUAAUUUAUUUAUUUUUCAUUUCGAUAAACAAACAAAUCGUGGACCAUAGAAUUUAAUCUCUCUUCACAAAAUCAGACAUGGGUUCUUUCUUUGGACAAUGGUUACCCAAAAUAGAGAAAAAUUUUCACAUAAAUGUUCGAUAUGAUUAGUGCCCCCACUAAACAGCUCAUCAUCUCAUAUUUAUCUAAAAUUGUGGUAUAAAUGUUUAUAGGGGUUAUGGGACAUCUCAAAUGGAUUAACGCUUCUUUUGGAGAGGAGUUAUGACUUUGUAAUAAUCCAAACAGACAGUAUAGAGGCCGUUCAAGUUAUUAAAGACUAGGCUUGUAAGGACUUGGACUCAACUUUAAUAAGAAGAAAUCAUCAAAUUUUGUCUAGUAUUAGACAUUGGGACAUUUGUCACAUUCCGAAGUCGAUGAAAUUGCUAAACUAGUUCAAGAAAUGAGGGAAUGUCUUUCAAGUGUUUGAAGUGUCCCCAUUGGGAAGUUUUAUUUUAUCGUAAUUUUUUAGGUUUUGUAUUUUCACCAAAUUUUUUUUAAGAAAAUAGAAAAUAAUAAUAAUUUUUGAAAACUCAAAGUACAAUUAUAUUAAAUUUGUAAUUUCAUCCAUAAUGUUAUUCAUAUCUAUCUAAUUAUUUGUCCUAAUCAUCCGAAAUUUAGGCCUAGUUUGGAUUGGUGGUACGUUUAACUGUAGUUAGUGUAAACAUAACGGUGGCGAUGAUAUUAGAUACUGUAGCGUGAGACAAAAAAUAAAUUAAAAGCACCGCACCCAAUCACCCAUCUAAAUCCACCUUAGUUAGUUACAAUCUAAAAUGAAAUAUAUAUUAAUAUAAUAAUAUAUUAUAUUGGUGUUUUGUUCAGUUUUAUUAUGGUUUAAAUUCAAAUAUAUUUCAAAUUUCAAUCUAUUAUAUUUUAUAUUGAGUUAUUCUAAUUUUAAUUGAUCAAAUAUGUAUUAUUUGUAACUUAUACUAAGCUUCUUCUUUUUUAAGUAACUCAUACUAUAUUUGUAGUUAUAAAUUCUUUCAAAAAAAUAAAUUAGGAUUCAUUAUAACAACACAAGCCAUGUUUUAAUAGAGCGUAUUACGAACUCAAAUCCUUUGAAUUUUUUUGAAAAAGUUUACAACUAGAAUAUAGUAAAUCAAGUACAACACAAUUAUAAAGUUGAAUUGAAUCAAUAUAAAUUACAAAUAGAUUAAGAACGGGAAUAAAUUAAAUUAAAAUUCACACGUGACAAUUGCGUAUGAUGAGACUCAAGUUUUGGUAUACAAGACUCAAAAUCUCGACUUUUACCAACAAUGCCAAAACUUAUUCGACAGACAAUUCAAACCUCUUAUCCGAUAUCAAAAUACCAGUUGUAUUUUAAUUAUUUUUCACAAUCAAUCUAAAACUAUUCCAGAGGUAGAAUUAAAAUUGGUAUCAGUUUUAAAUAAAACCGGAUUAAUUGAUAUAUUGAUUCCAACAGAAUGAUUUUAAAGAAAACCACUCAAAACCAAGAUUUAUUGUAGUAGUGGAUGAACAACUGUGAAGAGCCAUAGAAUUUUUUUUUUCUAAGGAUAAGCUUCGAUGACGGAUUGAACUGCACGUAUAGGUUUAACGUUGAAUCGUGUAAAACCAGAUUGUCGAAGAACAUAGCUCCAUUCCUUUAAGGUCCUCUCUUUCCCUUUAUUAGUAACACCCAUCAUCGUCAUGUCUAGCAUCAACCCUACGCCACCUAGCUCGUCGCCUUCUUUAUCUUCUUCAAGAACUGCUUCAACGAUUAUAACCUUCCCUUUAUCUUCUGGAAUGGCUUCUCGACAUUUUUUUAGGAUUUUAAUGCAUUCCUCGUCGUCCCAAUCAU
This 27489-nucleotide long non-coding RNA is filed under the name Gossypium barbadense (sea-island cotton). Its description in RNAcentral is "long non-coding RNA (GBAR_LNC015846)". Lineage: Eukaryota; Viridiplantae; Streptophyta; Magnoliopsida; Malvales; Malvaceae. The record is from RNAcentral.